CCCUUUUGUGCUUCCUGAUUGCCAAU
RNAcentral lists this non-coding RNA (26 nucleotides) under Mus musculus (house mouse). Lineage: Eukaryota; Metazoa; Chordata; Mammalia; Rodentia; Muridae. The record is from RNAcentral.